RNAcentral lists this ribosomal RNA (124 nucleotides) under Heloderma horridum (Mexican beaded lizard). Its description in RNAcentral is "partial 16S ribosomal RNA". Lineage: Eukaryota; Metazoa; Chordata; Lepidosauria; Squamata; Helodermatidae. The record is from RNAcentral.
UAUACUUCACUUUCUUUAGUACGAAAGGACCAAGAAAGUGGGACCAAUCUUAGAAAGAAGUCCCUACAUAUAACUGAAUAAAAAUAAAGUCCCUGAUAUAACCACAACCCAAGACAUAGGGUUA